RNAcentral lists this ribosomal RNA (1491 nucleotides) under uncultured Bacteroidota bacterium. RNAcentral describes it as "bacterial SSU rRNA". It matches the Rfam family "Bacterial small subunit ribosomal RNA". Lineage: Bacteria; Pseudomonadati; Bacteroidota. The record is from RNAcentral.
AGAGUUUGAUUCUGGCUCAGAACGAACGCUGGCGGCGCGUAUUAAGCAUGCAAGUCGGACGGUGGGGGGAGUUUUCGGAUUCUCCUGAGAGUGGCGAACGGGUGAGUAACACGUAGGUAAUCUACCCUUAGAUGCGGGAUAGUGCAUGGAAACAUGUGGUAAUACCGCAUGAGGCCUAUUGGGGGUCACCCUGGUGGGUUAAAGGUGCAAUUGUGCUGUCUAGGGAUGAGCCUGCGGUCCAUUAGUUAGUUGGUGGGGUAACGGCCUACCAAGGCGAUGAUGGAUAGCCGGCCUGAGAGGGCGUACGGUCACACUGGGACUGAGACACGGCCCAGACUCCUACGGGAGGCAGCAGUGAGGAAUAUUGGGCAAUGGGCGCAAGCCUGACCCAGCCAUGCCGCGUGCAGGAUGACUGCCCUAUGGGUUGUAAACUGCUUUUUUACAGGAAGAAAAUUUUCGACGUGUCGAGAACUGACGGUACUGUAAGAAUAAGGAUCGGCUAACUCCGUGCCAGCAGCCGCGGUAAUACGGAGGAUCCAAGCGUUAUCCGGAUUUAUUAGGUUUAAAGGGUGUGUAGGCGGGUUAUUAAGUCAGUGGUGAAAUCCUGCAGCUCAACUGUAGAACUGCCAUUGAAACUGAUAAUCUUGAGUAUAGUUGAGGUGGGCGGAAUGUGUCAUGUAGCGGUGAAAUGCAUAGAUAUGACCCAGAACGCCAAUUGCGUAGGCAGCUCACUAAACUAUCACUGACGCUGAUGCACGAAAGCGUGGGGAGCGAACAGGAUUAGAUACCCUGGUAGUCCACGCUGUAAACGAUGAUUACUGGAUGUAUGCGAUACACAGUAUGCGUCUGAGCAAAAGUAUUAAGUAAUCCACCUGGGGAGUACGUUCGCAAGAAUGAAACUCAAAGGAAUUGACGGGGGCCCGCACAAGCGGAGGAACAUGUGGUUUAAUUCGAUGAUACGCGAGGAACCUUACCUGGGCUUAAAUGCAGAAUGACAACUUGAGAAAUUGAGUUUCCCUUCGGGGCAAUUUGCAAGGUGCUGCAUGGUUGUCGUCAGCUCGUGCCGUGAGGUGUCGGGUUAAGUCCCAUAACGAGCGCAACCCCUAUCGUUAGUUGCCAUCUGGUAAUGCAGGGAACUCUAACGAAACUGCCGGUGUAAACCGAGAGGAAGGUGGGGAUGACGUCAAAUCAGCACGGCCCUUAUGUCCAGGGCUACACACGUGUUACAAUGGUCGAUACAAAGGGCAGCUACUUGGUGACAAGAUGCUAAUCUCGAAAGUCGAUCUCAGUUCGGAUCGAAGUCUGCAACUCGACUUCGUGAAGUUGGAUUCGCUAGUAAUCGUAUAUCAGCAAUGAUACGGUGAAUACGUUCCCGGGCCUUGUACACACCGCCCGUCAAGCCAUGGAAGCUGGGGGUAUCUGAAGUCCGUAACCGUAAGGAGCGGCCUAGGGUAAAACUAGUGACUGGGGCUAAGUCGUAACAAGGUAGCC